GACGAACGCUGGCGGCGUGCUUAACGCAUGCAAGUGGAGCGACGAACCAGGGCUUGCCCUGGGGCAGAGCCGCGAACGGGUGAGUAACACGUGGGUUACCUACCCCGAUGACCGGGACAACCCGAGGAAACUCGGGCUAAUACCGGAUGUGGUCUUCGGACGAAAGGAGCUUCGGCCUCCGCAUCGGGGAUGGGGCCCCGCGGCGCAUUAGCUUGGUUGGUGGGGUAACGGCCUACCAAGGCGACGAUGCGUAGCUGGUCUGAGAGGACGAUCAGCCACACUGGGACUGAGACACGGCCCAGACUCCUACGGGAGGCAGCAGUGGGGAAUCUUGCGCAAUGCGCGAAAGCGUGACGCAGCAACGCCGCGU
This 370-nucleotide ribosomal RNA is filed under the name uncultured bacterium. RNAcentral describes it as "bacterial SSU rRNA". It matches the Rfam family "Bacterial small subunit ribosomal RNA", at positions 28 to 402 of the family's 1533-position model. The record is from RNAcentral.